AGCCUUGUGGUGUUUAACAUGUUGGAUUGCAAAUCCAAAGUCGCAGGUUAGCUCCUGCCGGGGCUU
RNAcentral lists this transfer RNA (66 nucleotides) under Sperata seenghala (giant river-catfish). Its description in RNAcentral is "tRNA-Cys". It matches the Rfam family "tRNA". From Rfam's summary of the family: Transfer RNA (tRNA) molecules are approximately 80 nucleotides in length. The record is from RNAcentral. Lineage: Eukaryota; Metazoa; Chordata; Actinopteri; Siluriformes; Bagridae.